GACAGAGGGGGCAAGCGUUGCUCGGAAUCACUGGGCGUAAAGGGCGCGUAGGCGGGAUGGCAAGUCGGUCGUGAAAUCCUUCGGCUCAACCGAAGAACGUCGGCCGAUACUGCCGUUCUUGAGGGAUGCAGAGGAGAUUGGAAUUCCCGGUGUAGUGGUGGAAUGCGUAGAUAUCGGGAGGAACACCAGUGGCGAAGGCGGUUACCUGGAGCUUUGCUGACGCUGAUGCGCGAAAGCGUGGGGAGCGAUCCGG
Molecule: ribosomal RNA, 253 nt
Filed under: uncultured bacterium
Lineage: Bacteria
Description: partial 16S ribosomal RNA
Rfam family: Bacterial small subunit ribosomal RNA
Source: RNAcentral